This 146-nucleotide unclassified non-coding RNA is filed under the name soil metagenome. RNAcentral describes it as "partial internal transcribed spacer 1". The record is from RNAcentral.
UAAUAAGUGUUUUAUGGCACUUUUUAAAUCCAUAUCCACCUUGUGUGCAAUGUCAGUCGAUCUUCUUCAUGGAGAUCGACCAAACAUCAACCUUUAUUUUUUAACUCCUUUGUCUGAAAAAUAUUAUGAAUAAACAAUUCAAAAUA